Prionailurus viverrinus (fishing cat) is the source of this 8760-nucleotide long non-coding RNA. RefSeq lists it as uncharacterized. The transcript has 4 exons. NCBI's taxonomy places the organism in Eukaryota, Metazoa, Chordata, Mammalia, Carnivora, Felidae. The record is from RefSeq and is a predicted model, not a curated record.
UGCUUGGGAUUCUCUCUCUCCCUCUCUCUCUGCCCCUGCCCUGCUAGCAUUCUCUCUCUCUCUCUCUUUCUUUCGCUCUCAAAAUAAAUAAACUUUAAAAAAAUUAAAAGAAAAAGAAAACCCCAGGGGUUCUGGAGAGAGGCCAUCAACUCCAAAGCCAAGCAGCCAUGCAAACAAACAAGGUACAGGCGCCACUUGGUCAGAAACUUUAGCGUGGGGGCAGAGGGGAGGGGGGGGCGAGCAACCUCCCCCUUGGGAAGAGGUGGGGUCUGCGGAGAUGCGGGUAGCCAGCGGAUUCCUCCUAGCUCCUCCCGACUGGUGUCAAGCCGGCACAAAGAGCCGACUCAAGAGAAGCCAAAAAUCAGGACUCUUAGGCGAAGCGUCUCAAUGUUUAAAUGCUGGCAAGUGAUUCAAAGUUAAGGACGACCAAAUUCCUCUGCCAGCUGAGUCGGGCUCACGGGCCCCCAGCCGUGUCCUGGGGUUCGGGGCCCCCACCCUCUGCUGCCAGGGGCACAGGUCUUCCUUGUAGUCUUGGGAGGAGAGCAGGGGAGAAGUCCCAGCCGAGGACAGGAGCCCCCUCCUCCCGGACCCUGACAUCUGGUGGAAGGAAGGGCUGAGAUUCCCAUUCUGAAGGAAAAGACAGAGUGGCAGGAAUGACCCAGAGAACCCCAGAAACAGGGAGCACGGAUUUCCACCAAGGUCAAAGUGCAGGUGCGAGGGACCCCCUGGGGUGGGGAAUUUCCGCCCCAAGGUGUCCCUGGCCUGCAGGAGCCUGCUGUGGGCGGUGAGGGAGGGCCACCUCUCAAUCCCCACAGCAGACAACGGUCUCCCCACACCCUCUCUCCAGGCUGCCGCUCAAGGCGUGUCCAGAGGGGAGUCUCCUUCCGGGGCUUCAAUGACCGACGGCCACACGCAUCUCCCGUCGAAUCGUGGAAACGGGGGGCUGGACUGCAAAGCUUCACGUGUUCCUUAUUUCAUGUUCUGGCUACUCCUAUGUCCAAAGAUAACAGCGAUCGCGAGGCAUUUUGUCUUGCUUAAUAAUGUGGUCCGUGAAAAUUUCAAACAAAUCUAAUGACAAAUUAACUGUGACAUUAGACUGGGCCUUAAGGAUCACGGAACCAGGAGGGGAGGGGGGGGCAUGGUGGUACCCAGAAGUGGACACAAGUGUCUUCUAGGGUGUCCUGUUGGCGUGUAGAGGCAAGGGGUCCCACACGUGGCCCCAUCACAACCACUGAAAGGGAGCUGUCUGGGCUGGGGGAGACAGGAGGGGCGGGUAAGGGCUCAUCCCUGUUGUUGCUCUUACCACUCGGUGAGGACACAGGUCCUUGGACAGACUGGUUGGGGACCCCAGGGUGCCUGUCCCCCGCCUGUACCAACUCUGGUUUGGGGACAGGCUGGCUCCCAGCUUUCCGGGGGGGGGGGGGGGGUGCAUUUCCCCAAUGCUCACAGAGCCCUGCGCCUCCUGGUGGGCGACUGGAGAACUGCACCCUGCCGGCCUCCCUCCCCCCCAACCACCGCCCCAGGAGGCAGCUGUUAACACCCCCCUCCACCCCUGGGGGGACGGGCGGGGGGGGGGAAUCAGUGGACAGCCCUCACUCGGACACCCCACCAGGGGCCUUGCAUGCAUUCACUCCCAGGUCGUCAUCCCAGCAACCCCGCCAGCUGGGUUAACACGGGUCUCAUUUUUGCAAGAAGAAAACCCGAGGGUCACAGAAAGCAAGAAUCCGAAUCAGAGCUGGGCUGACCACAGAGCUCAAGGCCUCCACCCAGAGCCGUUCAUUCGGCGGACCCCUUGCUCGGCCAUUUCCCAUGCAAACAUCUGCUGAGUGGCUACCCUGCUAGAUGCUUCCAGCCCUUUGCACACACGCAUUUGUAAUUACACUUCUCAUGACUGCUUAAUUAGCAUCUCUUUUCUUGCCAGACAGUCCGCCCCACGAGGGGAGGGAGACCCUUUCCCCGCUGUUGCCCUAUUGCCUGGCAAGCACAGCCCCCGACAGGAGCUCAGGAAGGGUCUCUUGGUGCAAUGACUCAAGGGCCAGAGACGGACAGAAUGCUCUCUGUCCUCAACGGUCUUAUAGCCUCACGAGGAAGGCAGACAAGUGAGAAAGUAAUGGCACCACUUUGGGAUAAAUAGACCACUGGGCUUAAACAUGGGUGCUGGGACUGCAGGAAGAGCGAGGGACUGGGGGAGGAAUCAGAGAGAGAGAGAUUUAGGUAAUGAGAGGGUUAGGGUUUGGCAGACAGGGGGUGGGAGGUACAGAGAGUUGUAGGUGGGGGGAAGGCCCGAGGUCUCAGGAUGCGCCCCACAGUUGGGGAGGCAGGGAGCAGUCAAAACUGAGGCCGGAGGGGCACCCUGCAGGCACGGCAGCCCGGAAAGUGCCCUGAAGCACAGUGACCUGACUGGGCUACUCGCGGGGUGUACACACUGGCCGCGGCAGAGGGGGCGCACUGGAGGGAGAACACCCACCAGGUGAGGCUCCCCAGGGACCAGCCCUCCUCCCAAGGCCUCUCGGGCACCGCCAGAGCUCCACGGAUCGUCUUCCUCCCAGCAGACACGGGGCGCGGGGUGGGGGGGGGGGGCGUCCUAAGGAACCAUCCCCUGCUAAGAGCUAGUAACUCGUUCUGACUGCUUUACACCUAUCGCCUCACUCAGUUGUCACGGCAACCCUGGAAGGCGGGUGCUAUUAUUAUCCCCAUGCUACAGAGCAGGAAACAAAGGCACAGAGAGGUUAGGUAAGUUAUGCAAGAUCACACAGCUUGUGUGUAACUGACGGUGCCGUCACGGUCUGAAGUCAGACGGUCUGGCUUUCCACGUUAGUCGCACCGCCUUCUACGCUCCUAUCCAAGGCAGGGGCUCGGGCAGGAAGGGGUGCUCAACAUGGAGGACCGGGGGUCUGCCUCUCCAUGAAUACUGUUUGCGAGAAGUUCUGGGAGCCACCUCCCCCCACCCUCGCUCCUCCUGAAAUCACCAUCCUCGACCUGCAGCAUCUUUAUGCUGACACCAACCCCGUUUUCUCCAACCCUCAGAUAAAUGGAGGAAGCCGUUCCCCUCCCUGCUGAGCACAGGUUCGACCGGCGCCCGGGCCCCGAUGCGGGGAGUCCCUGAGCGCAUCCCCCGCGGCCCCCAGUCCCGGCCCCAUGCGGAGGCUGCGCUGGAGGGCAGAGGCCACGGUCCCUCACCCACCCAUCUGGGCAGCUGGCUCUGACUGUGCUUCUGGAGGGAGGCUGAUCUGGGAGGGCGUGGAAGGGGGAAAGUCAGAGCCGAGGUCUGUGGGAGCAGAGAAGAAGUGACCCGGAGGGCUCACCUCCCGCCCUCGGGCUCCCACCCAGGGUUCCAGGGUGCCCGCCAGGUCACAUCAGGAAGCGGAGGCUGAGGACCACAGGAGUCCCCAGAACCUUCCUUCCAAGACGGGAGUGUGGUGGUGUAAUUGUCAUCUUCUCUGGAAUCGUCUAGAUUCUGACACAUCGUGUUUGUGCCGAGGGCUGCGAGCUGCCCUUAGUGCCUGUCAUUCCUCAUCAAGCAAUCCGGUCCACAGCUGGCCCUGCCCAAGGCGUGCUCCGGGCCACCAGCGGGAGGGGGAGGCUGGAAUCUCAGAAUCGAGCUCAAUCCUGGCUCCGUAGCCCCCACGAAGACGCAGACCCGGACCAGGACCUGGACGCACGACCCUUUGCUCCCCAGCAAGCAUCCGGGUUCUCCAGCAAAAACUGGCAGACUCCGGCUGGGGUCCCAGACCAACCAGGUCGUAGGUCCAGGAAUCCUUUGAGGAACCCGCGUUUUAAGUAAGCUCCCCGGAGGCUGUGGCGGCCGACUGCACUUUGCAGGCUAGCUCGGAGAGGCACCGAUGUAGGUCAGUGGAAGGAGGAGGGAGGACACGGGCUGGGAGGGCCGGUGAACAAGGUGUGCUGGAGAGGAGACCCUGGGGCGAGGCCCAGGGCGCUCAGGGGAUGCCCCACGCUCCGGCUCAAAGGCUCAAAGGCUCAAAGGCAAGGCACAGCAGGUGGGUGACGGGGGCCCCACCCUGGGGCCUGAGACUGUCUCCCCCUUCCAGGCAACUGCUUUCCGCUUUCCAUUUCUGCUUUGGAAUUUUCUCCCACAAUUCCCACAUACGCUCCCCGCCUUCUUCCUCUUUCCCCGUUUCAGGGAACUUUAGGGGCUUCUGCCUUGCUCUGGGGCACUUGAUGGCACCCUAAAGUGGCAGGAAGAUACCCUCAGGAGAUCUGCCCUGGACUCAGGCCCCGCUCUCAGGAGGUGACAGCACAGGUCUCGAAUCCCGAUGCUUCCCAGCCGGGAGAGGUAUAUGGCUGUGUGCCUCAGUUUCCUCAUCUGUAAACCGGGUCGAGAAGGCGACUGGACACAGAGCACUGACUACAAGCUCUGUUCUAAGUGCUUUCUGUGUACAGACUCAUUUAGUCUGCACACGAUCCCCGAGGCUCAGACACCCACCAUCUCCCCAUUGUACAGACGUGGACACUGAGACCCAAAGGGGCAGAGACACUUGUCCCGGGCUGCCGUGCAGCUCGCAGGUGCUGUAACGGACCCUCUGGCUUCAGACCCCUUGUUCACAACACUGGUUCUGUCCCCUCCCCCUCACACAGUGAGCGGAGAGCGAAAUGAGCCGCUCGGAACACUACUGGUGCAUAGUAAGUGCACACCAAAGGGGCAGCAACUGUUGCUACUGAUGUCGUUGUGCAUGCAAACCUCUCUUUCCUCCAAAGCAGGAUUUGCAGCCUCCACCAGCCAGGGAAGGCAUACCCACUGUCGGGGUCAUCUCCGUGGGGGUGGUCAGAACGGCUCAGAGCUGCCUGUGACAGACGGAGCCCAGGAGAGCAGGUCCCCAUUCCCGGCUCCGGGGCACCUGUGUCCAAACAGCAAACCCAGGACCACACUUCUCACGUCUCCGAGCCCUUGGCUGUCUGAGCAGCCAGACGAUGCAUCUGCCCCCAACAUGCGGCUGGUGUGUGUGUGUGUGUGUGUGUGUGUGUGUGUGUGUGUGUAGAGGGGUGCCCUCCUCAGCCUGCACGUGGGAGCUUGGUGGGCUUCUGCAAGAGCCCCAAGAGUCGGUCUGGCCACCCCAGGCAGGAGCCGCCUGCUCCCAUCAGGAACUCUAUUCUUAGGGUGCUUUCUCUUGUUUUUAACUUUGGUACCUCCUAAAAGUCACCCUGCGUGAAAGCAAGCCCCAGUGGGUGUAAUUUACAUGUCAUGUCACUUAGGCGGAGUAUGGCCCACUCCCCUUCCAACCACCCCCCCGCCCCGCCCGCCACGGCUUCUGCAUCGAUCCCACCACGCCUGCGCUCGGUCAUCAUCGGUCAUCCGGAGUGAAAUCAACAGAAGGGUCAGGGUGGAGGGCGGGGGUGGGGGAGGCAGGGGGGCAUUUCGGCUACAUCCAAGCUCUGGAACUCCCCAGUUUCCAGGCUGGGCUUCCGCUCAGCUCAGCGGUCCACAUUGCCAUGGCAACCACCCAGCAUGGCAGAAAGCCCCAGAGCUCGCCCAACCUGCCCAACCUGGGAGCAGCACCCAGCGGGGAGUCACUUACCGUGAUGGUGUUCUCCUUGUUCUGCUUUUUGCCUGGUGACGAGGAUCCCAGGUUCUGGGGAGAGAGGCAAGAAACAUCAUCAAAGCUGUUCUCCAUCCUGGACGUUUGCGCUUUCUGUUCGGGCUCCCCGAAGGCAGGGGGGCGUUCCUGAUUCGGGCAGUUAACCCCUCAGCUGCCCUCUGCUGGCAGACCGGUCCGCCUGCUGCCCGAACCCGCAGAAGCCACCCGAGAACAGAGAGUUAAAGCAGGCCACCACCUCCAUGACAUCUUAUUCUGAAUCCCCAGGGUCCGACAUGUCCAAUCCUCAAGCCGCGGAACGUGCAUGGCUGGCGGGUGAAACUUAAGGACGUGGUUGUUGACACUUCCUAGAAAAGGCUCAGAGAGAGAGGUCCCUCCACGCAGCCUCAGGGAACCAGCAGCCCCCCAUCCCGGGCCAGCGAAGCCCGGACCACCGGCAAGGAUGAGCAUCGGUGGGGUGGCGGGGCGGGGGUAGGGGUCAGCUCUGCCUCAGGAUCUCAGCUGCUCACCACACAAAACAGGGAGCUUGACUUAGUCCCUGUUUGUGGUUCCCUCAUUCCUUUACUCCCGUCCAGAUCGACCCGGGCUGGUAAGGGAAGUCCGUUAAUGGAAGCGGAUGCCCUCUGACCGUCCAGCUAAAAGAACUCUAUAGAUCGGUCAUGUCCCGGGCGAGGAAAUAAACUCAGUAGUCUGGACACCCUGCCAAGCCACGGGCCUCCUCUGAGCCUCGAUUUCACCGGUUGCUAUCGACGGUCCACAAGCUUUGGAGGACAUCAGAAUUAACAGGCAUUGGCCCCAAAUUGGAUCCCGGCCGCACCCCCCGGAGCUGAGCCGGCAGCAAUUAGGUGGGCCAGCGCCUCUGAAGCAGAGUCUGGGGGCCUCCCCUGGGGACACACUGAUCUACGUGGUGUCAUUCAUCCAGGCUCCCUCACUAUGGCAGCCGCACAGGCUCAAGCGUGUGACCAGCCACAGCUUCCCCAGACAUUUCCAGAGCAACGAUGCACGACCUUCCCCCGAAUCGUCUCCAGCCAUCAGUGGUCGCCCAGGGCAUGUGCCCAAAUUGGGAGGAAGACCGAGGCCACGUGGCUGGAGCUCGAGUGCCACUAUCCUGGGGCAGGUGCGGGGGUCUCUCGCAGGUUCAUCCACGCAGAGGCACUGGCCAAACAAACCCAUGCCGGGGAGGGGAAAGGGGAAGGGGACACCCCAGCAUGGAUUCUCCCCACCAUCGACACACAACUGCCACCACACUCCGAGCUCUCACCCACCAGGAUGUCAGCUAAUGCACUAGCAACCAGUCUCCGUAUCGAUGCUGACGACGGGGACGAGGGGGGAAACUCAGAAGGAGGGAGACACCAGCCUAGGCAUCAGACAUACUCAAACCUGCGUAAUCCUCCCAGACCCCGCGAAUUCAGAGGCACCACCUCCGUUGCACAGAUGGGGAUACUGAGGCUUGCAGAAACGAACUCAUUUGUCUAGGGUCACAAGGCAAGUGACACUGGAGCCUACGGCUGAGUCUCGCUUUUCUCGAUAUUCUGCCGGCUCCCCACUUUGAGACCAGGGACAAUCUCUUGUUUUCCAGGUGGCUCCACAGGGGUCAAGAAAGAUCAUCAUCCACAGUCACUGACCUGGGGACCACCGUGUCCAAGGCUCUGUGGAAUGGAGCCGGACACAGAGGUGGCCCUCCUCCCUGUAACUGGGACCAGGACAGGAGUGCAAGUAAUGGCAUUGACAAUGGGGGGGAGGGGUCCUCUGCCCCCCCUCCCCCGCCCUCUCUGCCCUCCUGGAUACUCAGUCUCAGCCAGGGCUGAGCAGGGUGACGCCAAGCCCUUCCAGGCAGCUCAGGCUCUGUCCUUGCUGCCAGUGGUCUGUGCCUACUGUCCCAACAUCACCUACAUACACAUGCAUCAUAUACACGCACUAUAUACACAUACGUGUCCACACAUCCACACAUCACACACAUCCACACACACACACCUGUAGCACUUCACAAAAGGGCCCGGAAGGAAUUACACCUCCAUCACAGGGAGAACACCUACUAGCCAGAAGCUGGCUUCUAAAUACUAUUCCAUACUAAAAGGAAACGAGUCCCUUGGAGAAAUGGCUCAUUCCAGAUGCCAGACACAUCUGGCACAUUCAGUCGUUCUGGGAGGGAAGAAACAGGGCAAAGAACAAUGUGGUCUCACCAAAGGACCCAGGUGCCAGCAGAGAGAGGGUCCAACAAGCCAAAUUUGGGACAGUUUGGGCAUGAUUGUGAAUAACGACCGAAAACGAGUAACUUAAAAGGCAGCAAAGGGGGCGGGGGGUGUAUGCGGUAUUUCUUUAUGGAAGAAUGCCCCUAAAAAUGGUUAAGGAAUCAGAAAAUUACCAUUUGCAAACCCCAAAGCCAAAACGGAUCCAGGCCACGGUCACCAAGGAUGCUGAAGCACUGAGGAACAGUAUCGCCCUUACCGUCCCCCCACCCCCAGAUUACUGGCUAAUCAGAAAGGGAAAAUGCGCCCUUGCAAAGGGGCCAUCGCAUUCACCGGGAGCCCAAACUCAGCAUCGCUGGAGGGGUGCUAACCUGAGAAGCCCCAGGAGGUAGAAACCUUUGCCAAAACUGCUAACCCUGAAUCUAAGCAGAAGAAAGGAAGUAGAUAAUGCAUCAGGGUCACUCUGCAACUGACCUGGGCUCUUCCCACAAACAGCUACCGUGGGCCAAGAGAGAAAGAACAAAUGUGUGGGGAAAAUAGAGUCUAGAUUAAAAGGAGCUAAAGCCGUAGAUGAGAUAAAAUGGUGAGUCCACAGGAUGGGAUACUACGUGGCCCCGGGGAAAGGAACACAGUGUCACUCCAUUUGCAACAUUCGCAGACCUUGAAACAUUGUUGUGAGUGAAAGAAGCCAGACACAUGGAGGCCCUGCAUGGUGCCUUUUCACUUCUAUGAAAUGUCCAGAAGAAAAGGGGCUCACCUACAGAGAGACAGGCAGAAAGCAGAUUAGUGGGUGCCCAAGACUUUUGGGGAUUCUUUCCAGGGUGAUCAAAGGGCUCUCAAAUGGAUUGUUACUGAUGGUCGCGCAACACUGUACGUUGUAAAUGACUGGAUGAAUUACAUCUCCGGAGAGAGAGGAACAGAGUAAAAAGAUACAGCAACCAAUGUAUCCACCUGUAAAAGUGGAAUGGACUUUAGCCUUGGGAUGUUACCAGUGUCCAUAAUAAAAGUUUAUUUAUUUA